Molecule: long non-coding RNA, 553 nt
Filed under: Equus asinus (donkey)
Lineage: Eukaryota; Metazoa; Chordata; Mammalia; Perissodactyla; Equidae
Description: lncRNA (ENSEASG00005032422.1, ENSEASG00020014110.1)
Source: RNAcentral
CUUUUUCUCUUUUAUUUCAUGCUAAUUAUGACAUAACAAUUUGGUAAAUUAUACCUUUGUAAGCAAAAUUGAAACAUUUAUCUUUUUCUCCCUAUUUUAUCCCUCUAGGAUUUGGAAACUUAAUCAAAAUGACUUAUGUUAGUAACUCAGGGAAGGUUGAGACCAACAUCUGGGAAAUCUAUGAACAAGCAUCCUGCCUUCACUGAUAUAACCAAGGAACAGACCCCAAUCAGGCUCCAACAAUUCCAUAUUAAACUGACGGUCAUCCAAGGAUUCUAGCCACUUCCAACGGCUGACCCACCUGGUCCUCAUUCUCAUUCCUACUGGACCCUUCUAAAUACUAGCUAAAAAAUACUUUUACUCCUCCUGGAUAUAGGGCCUCCUUCUCAAGCCCUGUCAGCAGGAAGUAGCUUCAGAAGAAGAGACCUUUGCCCAGGAUCCUUAAGAUUAAGGAGGAUAAAAUCUCUCAGGGGGGAAUGAGACAGGAACCAGGCUAAUGAGACGGGCUGCAAGGCCCCUGGCCAAAAAAGAUAAGGCCCCUAAACAGUCAGCA